Molecule: long non-coding RNA, 351 nt
Organism: Xenia sp. Carnegie-2017
Lineage: Eukaryota; Metazoa; Cnidaria; Anthozoa; Malacalcyonacea; Xeniidae
Exons: 2
Source: RefSeq, a predicted model, not a curated record
ACUCCACUGCUCUCGUGAAGUACCUGAAAUGAUGACGAUCAUUGAAAUCACUCACUUUACAAGUUUGAUAAACAUAAUAAUAAGAAGCAGACGUCACAGAUGAAAGGUCAAGGUAAAGUUCAACAAACAAAAUUGAGCAUUGCAAAGACAAACGAGUUCCUGUGAAUGAUGAAGAAACAUGAGAAGGCGUUGAUAGUUUGAUAGCAAUAGUGAUAUUUUUAUAAGAAAAAAGUAAACAGCAUCAUUCUUAUUCUCGUCUACUCGCCUACAAAAUCGUAAAUAGCACGGAAAAAUUUUUGAUUUGAUGUAACUGAGGUGAAAUGUGCGAAAAUGGUAAAAUUUUCAUUUUGA